AUUGAACGCUGGCGGCAUGCCUUACACAUGCAAGUCGAACGGCAGCACGGGAGCAAUCCUGGUGGCGAGUGGCGAACGGGUGAGUAAUAUAUCGGAACGUGCCCAGUCGUGGGGGAUAACGCAGCGAAAGCUGUGCUAAUACCGCAUACGAUCUACGGAUGAAAGCUGGGGAUCGCAAGACCUCGCGCGAUUGGAGCGGCCGAUAUCAGAUUAGCUAGUUGGUGGGGUAAAGGCCCACCAAGGCGACGAUCUGUAGCUGGUCUGAGAGGACGACCAGCCACACUGGAACUGAGACACGGUCCAGACUCCUACGGGAGGCAGCAGUGGGGAAUUGUGGACAAUGGGCGCAAGCCUGAUCCAGCAAUGCCGCGUGCAGGAUGAAGGCCUUCGGGUUGUAAACUGCUUUUGUACGGAACGAAACGGCCCUUUCUAAUACAGGGGGCUAAUGACGGUACCGUAAGAAUAAGCACCGGCUAACUACGUGCCAGCAGCCGCCGCAG
Molecule: ribosomal RNA, 500 nt
Filed under: uncultured bacterium
Lineage: Bacteria
Description: partial 16S ribosomal RNA
Rfam family: Bacterial small subunit ribosomal RNA
Source: RNAcentral